Molecule: ribosomal RNA, 861 nt
Filed under: Triticum aestivum (bread wheat)
Lineage: Eukaryota; Viridiplantae; Streptophyta; Magnoliopsida; Poales; Poaceae
Description: partial small subunit ribosomal RNA
Source: RNAcentral
AUGUGUACGGACAGUAGAGCCAUUAACAAGAUCACCGUAAGGUAUAGAUUCCCUAUUCCCCGUCUGGAUGAUAUGUUGGAUCAGCUUAGUGGAGCAAGAGUGUUCACAAAGCUAGAUUUGAGAAGUGGAUAUCAUCAAAUCCGUAUAAGACCCGGGGAUGAAUGGAAGACCGCCUUCAAGACAAAGGAAGGGUUGUUUGAAUGGCUAGUCAUGCCAUUUGGACUCUCAAAUGCACCAAGUACCUUUAUGCACUUAAUGAAUCAAGUCCUUAGACCCUUCUUAUCCCACUUUGUUGUGGUCUAUUUCGAUGACAUCUUGAUCUAUAGCAAGGAUGAGGAUGAACACUUUGAUCACAUUCGGAAGGUGCUAGAAGUACUAAGGGAAAAUGAGCUCUACGUCAACUUGAAGAAAUGUGUUUUCCUGCAAACACAACUUCUUUUCCUAGGAUUCGUCAUAACAUGUGACGGCAUUCGUGUUGAUGAUUCUAAGGUUGAAGCAAUCCGAGAAUGGCCAACUCCUAAGACCAUUUCUGAGGUAAGAAGCUUUCAUGGCCUUGCAACUUUCUAUAGGCGAUUUGUUAAGAAUUUCAGCACUAUCAUGGCACCAAUUACCGAGUGUUUGAAGAAAGGGAAGUUCCAAUGGGCAGAAGCAGCUGAAGCUAGCUUCAAUGAGAUUAAACAAAAGCUAUCACAAGCUCCUGUCUUGGUACUACCUGAUUUCAACAAGACUUUUGAGUUGGAGUGUGAUGCAAGUGGAGUAGGCAUUGGAGCUGUCCUGUCUCAAGAAAGGAAGCCCAUUGCUUUCUUUAGUGAGAAGUUAAGUGAAGCUAGACAGAAAUGGAGUACCUAUCAGCAAGAAUAA